Long non-coding RNA from Nematostella vectensis (starlet sea anemone), 677 nucleotides. RefSeq lists it as uncharacterized. Lineage: Eukaryota; Metazoa; Cnidaria; Anthozoa; Actiniaria; Edwardsiidae. The record is from RefSeq and is a predicted model, not a curated record. The transcript has 2 exons.
ACGUGGGCUUGGAGUAAGCUUUUCCACUCUACAUGGCCACCACAACGUGCUGUUCUGCUGAAGUGGUGACAUAAAAUCACUAAAUCACGACGGAAAGAUUAGUACAGUAAGCAAAACUCAUCUUAUCGCAUCUCACAACAAUUAAUGGGCGGUUGCUUUUUUCUUAAGGCUUUUCGGCCACACAGGUAGCGAGUCCUCUAAGAUAGCAAGCUGCUUAUUCUCUUAACACAACCUCCCACUUAACCUUAAGGUAACUGGCUUUAUUUUGAUACAUUCAUUAAGGUGGAUAAGGCUUGGAUGUAGGACUGUGCCAUACUGCACAAGGUACGGGAUUUUCAUGUUUCGAGGUCAUCUUUCACGUGGUCAUCUUAUCUUUGUUGCGACGUUACUCUUAAGGAACGAAGCAGAAAAAAAUCUCUUCACCCAAAAUAGAGGAAUUAUGUUUGCUGACGUUGCAGCUUUCCCCAAGAAGGCAAAAGCAAAGGAAACUCCAUGUUAGAAACAGAAAGGGAAAGAGUGUUGGCUUUACCGGUGGUGAAAAAGACGUGAAAGUCAAGUAAAUGGACUGAAAGAUCGCCGACUGGACAUUGGACUCAAUGUUAAAGCAGAAGAGGUAUCUACCUCAUCUAUGUCACGUAUAUUGUGUAAAACAAUCAAAGAAUAACCUAGUCUAAAUU